This 266-nucleotide long non-coding RNA is filed under the name Homo sapiens (human). RNAcentral's name for it is "HSALNT0382323". The record is from RNAcentral. Lineage: Eukaryota; Metazoa; Chordata; Mammalia; Primates; Hominidae.
AAGGCAAAUCCAUAGACACAGAAAGUAGAUUAGCAGUUGCCAGGGCUGGUGAGGCAGGGGAGGCAGGCUAGGGGGAAAUGUGGAGGGACUGCUAAUGGGUGCAGGGUUUCUUUUAGGGGUGAUGAAAAUGUUCUAAAAUUAAUUGUGGGCCGGGCACCGUGGCUCACACCUGUAAUGCCAGCACUUUGAGAGAGGUCGAGGCGGGCAGAUCACUUGAGGUCAGGAGAUCGAGACCAUCCUGGCUAACACGGUGAAACCCCAUCUCC